Molecule: non-coding RNA, 71 nt
Organism: Podarcis lilfordi (Lilford's wall lizard)
Lineage: Eukaryota; Metazoa; Chordata; Lepidosauria; Squamata; Lacertidae
Source: the annotation of a GenBank genome assembly
GGACCAUAGAUCAAUUGUAGAGCAUCUGCUUUGCAUGCAGAAGGUGCCAGGUUUAGUCCCUGGUAUCUCCA